UGGUGGAGUGAUUUGUCUGGUUAAUCCCGUUAACGAACGAGACCUUAGCCUGCUAACUAGUCGAUUCAAUUCCGAUUGGCUUCGACUUCUUAGAGGGACUUUGUGAUCAAACACAAGGAAGUUUGAGGCAAUAACA
Molecule: ribosomal RNA, 136 nt
Filed under: uncultured eukaryote
Lineage: Eukaryota
Description: partial 18S ribosomal RNA
Rfam family: Eukaryotic small subunit ribosomal RNA
Source: RNAcentral